GAGUACUGAAUAUGAUUGUUCAUGAACUUCGCGAUGAAAAAAUCACGGCGACAGAAUAUCAUGUUUAUAUGUCAGGAUUGCGGAGAUUUCCUUCUGUUAAUUUCUCCAAAUCAAAUUUUCUUUCU
Caenorhabditis elegans is the source of this 125-nucleotide non-coding RNA. The record is from Ensembl. NCBI's taxonomy places the organism in Eukaryota, Metazoa, Nematoda, Chromadorea, Rhabditida, Rhabditidae.